Hemicordylus capensis (graceful crag lizard) is the source of this 402-nucleotide long non-coding RNA. RefSeq lists it as uncharacterized. The transcript has 3 exons. The record is from RefSeq and is a predicted model, not a curated record. NCBI's taxonomy places the organism in Eukaryota, Metazoa, Chordata, Lepidosauria, Squamata, Cordylidae.
UCUGUUCAGUGUUUCAGCAUGAUAACAACCAGAAAGCGGGCCCUGCCCAACCCCACCAAGGCUUAAUGUCUUGAGGUACACCAGAAUUUUCCCUCUUUGUCUCUGUGAAGACCACAAGCGAACGUGCUGGUGUUGCUGGAAGCCAAUCCUGAGCUAUCUGGAAUGCUGGCCUUUGUGAAUGAUAUUAAAACUGAUUUCCUGUAUGCCUAUAGCAAUGAGAUAUGUGCCACUCUGUGGGGAGGGGGUAGGAAGCCAUGCUCUGAUGAUACACAGUCAGAUUCAGAUGUUGAUCCUACAGAGCUGUCUCAGACAAACUCAUCUGCAGAAGCAAAAAACUAUUGCUUACAGACAGGAACUCAAGGUCGUGUUCCCUCAUUGUAUCUGCACAACAACCCUGUGAGG